AGGAACAAAGGAAUCUGUAACUGGUUGUGAUCAAUUAGCUGUAACCCCCCUGCGCUGGCACCUACCCACUCUGUCUUCUUGAUUACCGUUUCUUUAUGUUUCUGUAGGCCUUGACUUCAGAUAGCUGCGCGUUUCUGGACUUGCCCUGUUCUGAAGGAGAGCCUUGCUGCCUUGAUCAAAGUUACACACCUCUUUUGCCCAGGUUAGGCCAUAUCCAGUGAUUGGUCAAAUUAGGUAGAAAGGCCCAAUUCCCUGUGCCACUUCUGGGACACCCUGAAGGAUGGAAUGAGUCCCUUCCCCACUGCCACAGAUGCUCUCCUUCUCAGAGACUGCUUCCCACAGGCAAACUGACGGACAAUAAUAAUUCAGUGUCCCCUGAUUUCACCUGCCAAAUCUCGGUCCACAGUAUGUUGUUCCCACUCAUAUCAGCAAAGCGGGUGACAAAGUGCCAAGUGAUGAGAAUCCCAUUGCGGAAGCGUCAUGGGUUGGAUUCUGUGAAGACAAAUUCUGAGACACAUUCUGCAGGAUGUUUAUUAGGACACACCUCGGUUUCAACCCCUGCAGUGAGAAGGAUAAGAAGGAAGUAGACUGAGCAGAGGACAAGCUGAGAUGCAUUUCAGGCCAGAGACUGCUUGGCUGACCCCAUGGGAGCUCUGGAGUGAGAAUGGUUGGGCCAAGAUGUCCAGAUCCUGAUAUUCCUGCAUGGGACAGUCACUGGAUAUGGGCCAUCCCAGAAAGGGGGGCAUACGAGGUACUGCCUCAAAUGCCAACUGCAUUCCUAUAGCUGGAACACAACCAAGGUAGAGCGGGCUACAUCUGGGUGGUAAAUCACAAUGUACAGCUCAGAAGACAAGUGUACCAAGUUUGCUGACUUCCUAUGGUCUAAAUGUUUGUAUUCCCCAAAAUUCAUAUGUUGAAACUUAAUCCCCAAUAUGAUGGCAUUAGGUGGGGUCAUUGAGAUGUGAUUUGGUCAAGAGAGGGGAACCCUCAUCAAUGGGAUUAGUGCCUUUAUAAAGGGGAUCCCACAGAGCUGCCUUGACCAUUCACCACAUGAAGACAUAGCUAGAAGGCAACCCCUGCAGAUGAGGAAGUGGGCCUUCACCAAACACUCAAUCUGCCAGUAUCUUGAUCUUGGACUUCUCAGUCCCCAGAGUGCUAAGAAAUAAAUUUCUAUUGGUUAUCAGCCA
Molecule: long non-coding RNA, 1187 nt
Organism: Otolemur garnettii (small-eared galago)
Lineage: Eukaryota; Metazoa; Chordata; Mammalia; Primates; Galagidae
Exons: 4
Source: RefSeq, a predicted model, not a curated record